Saimiri boliviensis boliviensis (Bolivian squirrel monkey) is the source of this 4402-nucleotide non-coding RNA. Lineage: Eukaryota; Metazoa; Chordata; Mammalia; Primates; Cebidae. The record is from RefSeq and is a predicted model, not a curated record.
AGGGCCUGCCCCUCUCACUUCGACUCGAUUGUAAUUCCAUCCCACGGCCCGUCGAACUUCCCUCCCUUCCGCAGCCAGCCCGUCCCUCCCGUCAGCCUCCUUCGUCGCCCCCGCCCCCGCGAAAAGCCCUGCCGCUUGCAGCCGGCUUCCCUCCCGCACGCCGACCGCCCGGCUGCCGUCCUGCCUCCUGGAACUGCCCCCCGGUUCCGGGCCCAGCCCCCGCUGCCGCCCACCUCCUCGCUGCGGCCGGGGGAUCCGCGGGGACCCGUGUCCCCCACGCCUCCGCCCCCGGAGAAGCCCUUUCCCCGUGCGCCCGGGACUUGGUGAAACUUUGCAGGCGCUGGCGGCGAAAUGGAUUUAACCCGAGGCGUCUUGCUCCGGCUCCUGCUCCUGGCUUCCAGCCUCCGACUUGGCACGUUGUCGCUCCGAGCGGCUCUCCGAAAACCAGGGAAGGUAGGGCCGCCUAUUGACAUCAAGCUGGGCGCAUUGAACUGUACGGCUUUCAGCAUCCAGUGGAAAAUGCCAAGGCAUCCUGGGAGCCCCAUCCUUGGGUACACUGUUUUUUACUCCGAGGUUGGAGCAGAUAAAUACCUGCAGGAGCAGUCACACAGCGUGCCCCUCAGCCGGGACAUCCCGACCACGGAGGAAGUGAUUGGAGAUUUGAAACCGGGCACUGAAUAUCGUGUGAGCAUAGCAGCUUACAGCCAGGCUGGCAAAGGGCGGCUGAGCUCUCCUCGGCAUGUCACCACUUUGUCCAAAGAUUACUGCCUGCCUCCAGCAGCUCCCCAGCAGCCACACGUCAUUGUGGUUUCCGAUUCUGAGGUGGCCCUGUCCUGGAAACCUGGAGCAAGUGAAGGAGGCACCCCUAUUCAGUACUACUCUGUGGAAUUCAUCAGGCCAGAUUUCGACAAGAGGUGGACCUUAAUCCAUGAACGGAUCCAGAUGGACUCCAUGGUUAUCAAGGGCCUCGAUCCAGAUACCAACUACCAGUUUGCCGUGAGGGCAAUGAAUUCCCAUGGCCCCAGCCCCCGCAGCUGGCCCAGCGACAUCAUCCGGACCCUCUGCCCUGAGGAGGCGGGAAGUGGCCGCUAUGGACCCCAUUAUAUCACCGACAUGGGAGCUGGUGAGGAUGAUGAAGGAUUUGAAGACGACUUAGAUUUGGAUAUUUCCUUUGAGGAGGUUAAACCACUUCCUGCUACCAAAGGAGGGAAGAAGAAAUUUUUGGUGGAAAGCAAGAGGAUAUCUAUAUCUAACCCAAAGACCAUUUCCAGGCUUGUCCCUCCUACCUCAGCAUCUCUCCCCGUGACCACAGUGGCUCCCCAGCCCAUCCCUGGAGAGAGGAAGGGGAAGAAUAGUGUGGCCAUGAUGUCAAGGCUCUUUGACGUGCCUUGUGAUGAAACUCUCUGCCCUGCCGACAGCUUCUGUGUCAAUGACUACACCUGGGGGGGCUCGCGAUGCCAUUGCAACCUGGGCAAAGGUGGUGAGAGCUGCUCAGAAGAUAUUGUUAUCCAGUAUCCUCAGUUCUUUGGCCACUCCUAUGUAACGUUUGAACCUCUGAAGAACUCCUAUCAGGCAUUUCAAAUUACUCUUGAAUUUAGGGCAGAGGCAGAGGAUGGCUUACUGCUCUACUGUGGGGAGAAUGAACACGGGAGAGGGGAUUUCAUGUCCCUGGCUAUCAUCCGACGCUCCCUCCAGUUCAGGUUUAAUUGUGGAACUGGGGUUGCCAUCAUUGUAAGUGAGACCAAAAUCAAACUGGGGGGCUGGCACACGGUUAUGCUCUACAGAGAUGGACAGAACGGGCUGCUGCAGCUAAACAACGGCACCCCGGUGACGGGUCAGUCCCAGGGCCAGUACAGUAAAAUUACCUUCCGGACACCUCUCUACCUUGGUGGGGCUCCCAGUGCUUACUGGUUGGUCAGAGCAACAGGAACAAAUCGAGGCUUUCAAGGCUGUGUGCAGUUGCUCGCUGUUAAUGGGCGGAGAAUCGACAUGAGGCCCUGGCCCCUGGGAAAAGCACUCAGUGGGGCUGAUGUGGGGGAAUGCAGCAGUGGAAUCUGUGAUGAGGCCUCGUGCAUCAAUGGUGGCACCUGCACAGCAAUCAAAGCCGACUCCUACAUUUGCCUCUGUCCCCUUGGGUUUAAAGGUCGACACUGUGAAGAUGCUUUCACCUUGACCAUUCCGCAAUUCAGAGAGUCUCUGAGAUCCUACGCUGCAACGCCCUGGCCACUGGAGCCCCAGCAUUACCUUUCCUUUAUGGAGUUUGAGAUCACAUUUCGGCCAGAUUCAGGAAACGGUGUCCUCCUGUACAGCUAUGACACAGACAGCAAAGACUUCCUGUCCAUCAACAUGGCAGAGGGCCACGUGGAGUUCCGCUUUGACUGUGGCUCUGGGACCGGUAUUCUUAGGAGUGAAGAUCCCCUCACCCUAGGCAACUGGCACGAGCUUCGUGUAUCUCGCACAGCAAAAAAUGGAAUCUUACAGGUGGAUAAACAGAAGGUAGUGGAGGGGAUGGCAGAGGGAGGCUUCACACAGAUUAAGUGCAACACAGACAUUUUUAUUGGCGGAGUCCCCAGUUACGAUGAUGUGAAGAAAGACUCGGGUGUCCUGAGGCCUUUCAGCGGGAGCGUCCAGAAGAUCAUCCUGAACGACCGAACCAUCCACGUCAAGCAUGACUUCACGUCCGGAGUGAAUGUAGAGAAUGCGGCCCACCCCUGCGUGAGGGCCCCUUGUGCCCACGGGGGCAGCUGCCGGCCCAGGAAGGAGGGCUAUGACUGUGACUGCCCCUUGGGCUUUGAGGGGCUUCACUGCCAGAAAGCAAUCAUAGAAGCCAUUGAGAUCCCGCAGUUUAUCGGCCGCAGUUACCUGACGUAUGACAACCCUGAUAUCUUGAAGAGGGUGUCAGGAUCAAGAUCAAAUGUGUUCAUGAGGUUUAAGACAACUGCCAAAGAUGGCCUUUUGCUGUGGAGGGGAGACAGCCCCAUGAGACCCAAUAGCGACUUCAUUUCCUUGGGCCUUCGGGAUGGAGCCCUCGUGUUCAGCUAUAACCUGGGCAGUGGCGUGGCAUCCAUCAUGGUGAAUGGCUCCUUCAACGACGGUCGGUGGCACCGAGUUAAGGCCUGUUAGAGAUGGCCAGUCAGGAAAGAUAACUGUGGAUGACUAUGGAGCCAGGACAGGCAAAUCUCCAGGCACGAUGCGGCAGCUUAACAUCAAUGGAGUUCUGUAUGUGGGUGGAAUGAAGGAAAUUGCUCUGCACACUAACAGGCAGUAUAUGAGAGGGCUCGUGGGCUGCAUCUCUCACUUCACCCUGUCCACCGAUUACCACAUUUCCCUCGUGGAAGAUGCCGUGGAUGGGAAAAACAUCAACACUUGUGGAGCCAAGUAACACCAGCUGGCCUUGCCCAAGGGACAGAGCCUUCUAUUCUGAGAAUCCCAGGGGCCCUGAGACCCUGCCUGAUGCUAUAUGCAGAGGCCCAGGGGCCAGGUGUGUUUCCUCUCAUCAAGGAGAAAGUACACACUGAUGAGAAACUGAGAACCAAGACAGGCAUCUCUGGGUGGCCUUUCCCGCUGACACUCCGCUAGCUGACCCAGCAGAAUCCUCUGUGUAGGAAGCAUCGGACUUUGUCCAUUGACUAUGUCGCGGCUGCCAGAGAUCACACAUCAAUGCAAAUUCCAGAGCCUGUCUGCUGUAGCUCAAUGACUGUGUUGUGAUUCAUAGUAUAUUAAAGAGAGAGAGAGAGAGAAAGAAACCCGCAGGGCAGUAUUAAAAUACUUCUCUCCUUCCCUGACUCAUGACACUCUUCCUGACAGCAGAAUGACUGUGUGACCUUGAACUUCACAUUUCCCACCUUGGCCUGUGGAUUGUUUGGAUUAACCCCUUCCACUCCUCACUGACUGACUCACUGUGUUCUGACCAAUCCAUGAAAAUAAAGAUGGAAGGAGACCAAACACAGAAUCGUAAUCAUAAUGCGGUCCCCCUCCCCAGAGCUUACCUCGAAUGUGAAAUCCCUACUUUUUAUAAUGCAAAGUUAAGAAGCUGAGCUCCAUGAUUUUGUAGCUGUACUUUUUGUAUGUGUAUAUUUUUAUAGCUGCAGACUGUCCACACGUAUACUUUUGAAAGUUUGGGUGGAUAACCUUGAAUCCUUGCACACCCUUCCUAAAAAUUUUCUCCCAGAACAUACUUGUUUGGGCCGUUUUUGGUGUCAGUGGAAUGGAUAUGUAACUUGGGUGGGCGACUUGGGGAGCUCUCCAUUCUCUUUUGGUAAAUGUUGACGGCUCAAGGGGAUGAAUACGAAGCUUUCCAAGAUAAGCAGAUUAAAAGGAACAUGUAUCACCGAGGUAGGUCACUGUCAUUUUUGUUUUAAGCGGGGAGAUAUCUGUAGUAAACUUGAAUAAAGGGACAAAG